ACAAGCGAAAAGCUUAAAACUCAACGGACUUGACGGUGUUCCACACCGACCUAGAGGAGCCUGUCCUAUAAUCGACACCCCACGCUAAACCUCACCCCACCUUGACAAUCCCGCCUAUAUACCGCCGUCGUCAGCCUGCCCAAUGAUAGACCCACAGCAGACAAAAAAGUGCCUCCCCCACUAAAACGUCAGGUCAAGGUGUAGCUAAUGGUGGGGGCAGAGAUGGGCUACAUUCUCUAAUACUAGAGAACCUACCACAAGCGACAUGAAAUAUUCGCCCAAAGGCGGAUUUAGCAGUAAAUCACGGUAAGACAACCCAUGUUGAAAACCCGCUCUGGAACGCGCACACACCGCCC
RNAcentral lists this ribosomal RNA (356 nucleotides) under Geckolepis maculata. RNAcentral's name for it is "partial 12S ribosomal RNA". It matches the Rfam family "Bacterial small subunit ribosomal RNA", at positions 882 to 1395 of the family's 1533-position model. The record is from RNAcentral. Lineage: Eukaryota; Metazoa; Chordata; Lepidosauria; Squamata; Gekkonidae.